RNAcentral lists this long non-coding RNA (756 nucleotides) under Equus caballus (horse). Its description in RNAcentral is "lncRNA (ENSECAG00000045699.1)". The record is from RNAcentral. Lineage: Eukaryota; Metazoa; Chordata; Mammalia; Perissodactyla; Equidae.
AACCCGACAAGCAUGUAAAUUUCCUUGCAAGCCUCCCAGAUGUCCUCACUUUAGGGCCAACAGUCAGUUUCAGUUUCAAUUUGUUUAUUUGUCCUUCUUCAGUCACAAAUGUGGAGCUGAGAAUGCUGGAAGAGAGAAGAGAAAGCAAAGAAAAAUGGGACGAAGAGGCCUUUUGCUUUCUUCCUGGGAUGUAAGCGGCAGGGAGAAAGCUAAGAGGCUUGGUCUUCUCUCUUUAGAAACAGGUAGAGAUCGUUGUCCAAAGAGGGAGCUAAACCAGGUAAAUCAGCCAAAGGCAACUAAGAAAGUGAGCCAGGCCAGACAGGAAAAAGAGAAAAAAAAGAAUGAAGGCGAGAAGAUGAAACUGGUUAAAUGGGAGAAAGAGGAGGACUCCAGGGCAGCAUCAGCCCCCAGAGACCAGAAGGGGCGCUGGAGUGUCCACUGCCACAGCCCCACCUAGUGGUUGCCCCACAUCUUCCAUACCUCCAGCGGCGGGGCGCUCCCCACAGCACCGGGCAGCUCUGCCUUUCUUUGGGCAACUUCAGCAGAAAGUUCUUAGCAUGAGCUGCAGUCAGCUUCCCUGUUCUAGCCCCUCCUCAUCAGUUCAGAUUCUGCUGCCCACGACAGUGAUUUCACUGUUUAGAAUGGCAUCAUGCUGAAGUGCUGUGUAAUGUUCCUAAAUGCAAGAAGGCUGUGAUGUGCCUUAUGGAGAAAACAUGCACGUUAGAGAGCCGGAAGUUAGAUCGAAAGGUUUGGUUA